This 427-nucleotide ribosomal RNA is filed under the name uncultured bacterium. Its description in RNAcentral is "partial 16S ribosomal RNA". It matches the Rfam family "Bacterial small subunit ribosomal RNA", at positions 355 to 774 of the family's 1533-position model. The record is from RNAcentral.
UGGGGAAUAUUGCACAAUGGGCGCAAGCCUGAUGCAGCCAUGCCGCGUGUAUGAAGAAGGCCUUCGGGUUGUCAAGUACUUUCAGCGAGGAGGAAGGCGUUGUGGUUAAUAACCGCAACGAUUGACGUUACUCGCAGAAGAAGCACCGGCUAACUCCGUGCCAGCAGCCGCGGUAAUACGGAGGGUGCAAGCGUUAAUCGGAAUUACUGGGCGUAAAGCGCACGCAGGCGGUCUGUCAAGUCGGAUGUGAAAUCCCCGGGCUCAACCUGGGAACUGCAUCCGAAACUGGCAGGCUAGAGUCUUGUAGAGGGGGGUAGAAUUCCAGGUGUAGCGGUGAAAUGCGUAGAGAUCUGGAGGAAUACCGGUGGCGAAGGCGGCCCCCUGGACAAAGACUGACGCUCAGGUGCGAAAGCGUGGGGAGCAAACA